Beta vulgaris subsp. vulgaris (sugar beet) is the source of this 163-nucleotide long non-coding RNA. RefSeq lists it as uncharacterized. The record is from RefSeq and is a predicted model, not a curated record. NCBI's taxonomy places the organism in Eukaryota, Viridiplantae, Streptophyta, Magnoliopsida, Caryophyllales, Amaranthaceae. The transcript has 3 exons.
CAGUUAUGGUUAGUGUAGCCAAGUCCUUUGAUGCACCUAUAAAGCUUUUGUUCCCCACAGGAGAUGCUGCAAGACCAUUUUCUAUGUUGGAUUAGGAGAUAUUGUUAUCCCUGGCAUCUUUGUGGCAUUGGCAUUGCGAUUUGAUGUUUCCGAGGGAAAGAGA